This is a long non-coding RNA of Vombatus ursinus (common wombat), 225 nucleotides long. RefSeq lists it as uncharacterized. The transcript has 2 exons. Lineage: Eukaryota; Metazoa; Chordata; Mammalia; Diprotodontia; Vombatidae. The record is from RefSeq and is a predicted model, not a curated record.
GCACAGAGAGAUUAAAUGACAUCUUCAGGGACACAGCUAAUGAGGAAACCGAGUCCCAAAGAGAUAAAGUGAUUUGUCCCAGGACUUUCAACUAGUAAGCGUCGGAGCCAAGACUUGGAAUUGUAUAGUCAGUUCCUGCCUCCAAGUCUAGUGCUUUUUCCAAAAUACCAUUUUGAAUUAUCUGACAUGAUUUAUUAUUCAUAAAAUCACAUUUAUUACUUUCCA